RNAcentral lists this ribosomal RNA (468 nucleotides) under uncultured bacterium. RNAcentral describes it as "partial 16S ribosomal RNA". It matches the Rfam family "Bacterial small subunit ribosomal RNA", at positions 28 to 507 of the family's 1533-position model. The record is from RNAcentral.
GACGAACGCUGGCGGCGUGCCUAACACAUGCAAGUCGAACGGAAAGGCGCUGCUCUUGCGGGUUGCUCGAGUGGCGAACGGGUGAGUAACACGUGAGUAACCUGCCCUUGACUUUGGGAUAACACUAGGAAACUGGGGCGAAUAUCGGAUAGGAGCUCUUGCUGCGCGGUGGUGGUUGGAAAGAUUCGGCUGUGGGGGAUGGACUCGCAGCUUAUCAGCUUCUUGGUGGGGUAGUGGAUUACCAAGGUUUUGACGGGUAGCCGGCAUGGGAGGGGGACCGGCGACAAUGGGACUGAGGUACGGCCCAGACUCCUACGGGAGGCAGCAGUCGGGAGUAUUGCACAACGGGCGGAAGCCUGAUGCAGAAGCGCCGCGUGCGGGAUGACGGCUUUCGGGUUGUAAACCGCUUUCGCCUGUGACGAAGCGUGAGUGACGGUAAUGGGUAAAGAAGCACCGGCUAACUACGUG